This 871-nucleotide ribosomal RNA is filed under the name Adelophryne sp. 6 AF-2012. Its description in RNAcentral is "partial 16S ribosomal RNA". It matches the Rfam family "Bacterial large subunit ribosomal RNA", at positions 1643 to 2606 of the family's 2925-position model. Lineage: Eukaryota; Metazoa; Chordata; Amphibia; Anura; Eleutherodactylidae. The record is from RNAcentral.
CACUUUAAAAAGCGUCACAGCUUAAUAUCUAACCCAAUAAUACCAUAAUUAACAAAAAACCCUUCAAUAGUACUGAAUACUUCUAUACCACUAUAGAACUUUUUAUGUUAAGACUAGUAACAAGAACCUAACUUCUCUUACAAUGUAAAUAUACACACCACUCCGUAGUUAACACAUGAACAAAAUGUAAUAACCCACAAGAAAAACCUACAACAACCACUGUUAACCUAAUAUAAGAACAUUUCCAGAAAGAUAUCAAAAAAAAGAAGGAACUCGGCAAAAUAAGAUUCCGCCUGUUUACCAAAAACAUCGCCUCUUGCAUAAUAUAAGAGGUCCUGUCUGCCCAGUGACUUAGUUCAACGGCCACGGUAUCCUGACCGUGCGAAGGUAGCGUAAUCAUUUGUUUUUUAAUUAAAGACCUGUAUGAAAGACCACACGAGAAUCACACUGUCUCCUUUCUUCAAUCAGUGAAACUAAUCUCCUCGUGCAAAAGCGAGAAUAACCUUAUAAGACGAAAAGACCCUGUGGAGCUUCAAACACCCAACACCUGUUGAAAUAACCCCUAUUUCUACCCACCCAUAACAGUCUGAUUGUGAGUUUUCGGUUGGGGUGACCAUGGGGAAAAAAUAAACCCCCAAGAUGAACCAGAAUUUUCUUUAAUUUAGAGCUACAACUCUACAUAUCAGAACACUGACAUUAAUUGACCCUUCUUGAUCAACGAACCAAGUUACCCCAGGGAUAACAGCGCAAUCUACUUUAAGAGCACGUAUCGACAAGUAGGCUUACGACCUCGAUGUUGGAUCAGGGUAUCCCAGUGGCGCAGCCGCUACUAAAGGUUCGUUUGUUCAACGAUUAAAACCCUACGUGAUCU